UAGCACGUCACCACAACUGAUAAUACACUCACAACUCAACAAUUUCAAGGUAUUCUAGUGUCGAUUAUACAGCGUUUUCGUACUGGACAAACACGCUAUCCGCCAUAUUGAGGGGAUAUAAGCAGUUCCAUAGCAAAAGAUUGUAGAGAUGGCGAAAUUACUGGUGAUAUCGGGUUUCUUGUUCUUUCACAUUGGUGCAUUUCUGUGUCUUGAAUUCAAUCCAGAUGGAGACACAGUUAAAGGGGCAACAGUGAGUCUUGUGUGCACUAUUGCACCAUCAGACUUCACUUCUCCCAUUUCCCUUACCAAAGAUGGCAGUUUGAAGACAUCGUGUGACAAUACAAAUAUAUGCAAUCCAUCAAACAGUGAUGCUGGUAGAUAUGUAUAUUCAUCAAACUCCUCAGCAGUAACAGUGACAAUCACUUCUUUAAGCCAUACAAGUGACACUGGAACUUGGACGUGCUCAAUAGCAUCAUCAUCACCCAAAGAUUAUUCUCUUGUUGUUCAAACUGAGCCAUCAGUAACAACCUUCAUAAACGGAUCAAGUACAACACCAGUCCCAGGAACAAAAUAUAAAAUAGUAAACCUAUCAGCUAGAAGUUACUGUUUUUCCCCAUCAAUCUCCUCAGCCAAUCUUCAAUACAGCGUUGGGAUUUCUGGAUCAGUCUUGCCAUUGACAACAAUUUAAGUAGUGGGACUGUCAGCUAUUAGUGUAGGGUGUGAAACAAAUGAAUUUGAUUUGCAAACAAAUGCAACAGUGGACAUAGACUCGUCAACAUAUGCAGAUCUCUCUGGGAAAUCAAAUGUGUACUUCCAGAUCACAUUUACAAGCAGCCUUGGAACUCAGCAUUCAACAGAUUAUAGAUUUGGACCAUAUGAUUUUGAAGAAACUGGACUGAUAGAGAUAUCGGAUCAUCAAAAAUGAUAAGAAGAUUAUGGACCUACACACUGGGAUAAAGAAUCCACAUUUGAUUUACACCACCUCUGGCAUAUGUAGUCGCAAGAGUCCAGUGUGGGCCAAUUUUUGGUGGGAUGAUAACACGAACAAGAAAAAAACCGAGAGUUUGAUGAGAUACCGUGGAUUCUUUAUUCAAAGUAUUAUUGCAAGAUAUGUGAUUUGCAUUUAAAUCAUUACUUUGUAUCUUCUUUACUACUUGAUUCAAUAAAUGACGA
Ostrea edulis (European flat oyster) is the source of this 1173-nucleotide RNA transcript. RefSeq lists it as uncharacterized. The record is from RefSeq and is a predicted model, not a curated record. Lineage: Eukaryota; Metazoa; Mollusca; Bivalvia; Ostreida; Ostreidae. The transcript is spliced from 8 exons.